CUAGAUUGACGCUGGCGGCGCGCUUAUGCUGCAAGUCGAGCGUGGUCGCGGCUCCCUGCCUGAAUGAUAAAGCGGCAGACGGCUGAGUAACGCGUGAGUAAUCUGCCCUCCGGUGGGGUAUAGCCUCGGGAAACUGAGGAUAAUCCCGCAUACGACCCGCAUCCCUUGGGGUGCCGGUGAAAGGCUUCGGUCGCCGGAGGAGGAGCUCGCGUCCUAUCAGGUUGUUGGUGAGGUAAUGGCUCACCAAGCCGAUGACGGGUAGCUGGUCUGAGAGGAUGACCAGCCAGAGGGGGACUGAGAACGGCCCCCACUCCUACGGGAGGCAGCAGCAGGGAAUCUUGGGCAAUGGGCGAAAGCCUGACCCAGCGACGUCGCGUGGGGGACGAAGGCCUUCGGGUUGUAAACCCCUUUUCCGAGGGAAGAGAAAGGACGGUACCUCGGGAAUAAGCCCCGGCUAACUACGUGCCAGCAGCCGCGGUAAUACGUAGGGGGCAAGCGUUACCCGGAAUCACUGGGCGUAAAGUGCGCGUAGGCGGUUGGAUAGGUCUCUUGUGAAAGCUCCCGGCUCAACUGGGAGAGGUCAAGGGAUACUAUUCGACUUGAGGACAGCAGAGGUAAGCAGAAUUCCCGGUGUAGCGGUGGAAUGCGUAGAUAUCGGGAGGAACACCAGUGGCGAAAGCGGCUUACUGGGCUGUAUCUGACGCUGAGGCGCGAGAGCGUGGGGAGCAAACUGGAUUAGAUACCCAGGUAGUCCACGCCCUAAACGAUGGAUACUAGGUAUGGGGGGGUAUUGACCCCCUCCGUGCCGUAGCUAACGCGUUAAGUAUCCCGCCUGGGGACUACGGCCGCAAGGCUAAAACUCAAAGGAAUUGACGGGGGCCCGCACAAGCGGUGGAGCGUGUGGUUUAAUUCGAUGCUAAGCGAAGAACCUUACCUGGGCUUGACAUGUUAGUAGUAGGAACCCGAAAGGGUGACGACCUCGGGGUAACUCGGGGAGCUUCCACAGGUGCUGCAUGGCUGUCGUCAGCUCGUGCCGUGAGGUGUUGGGUUAAGUCCCGCAACGAGCGCAACCCUCGUCGCUAGUUAUUCUCUCUAGCGAGACAGCCUCCCGCAAGGAGGAGGAAGGUGGGGACGACGUCAAGUCAUCAUGGCCCUUAUGUCCAGGGCUACACACACGCUACAAUGGCCGGUACAAUGGGUUGCCAAAUCGCGAGAUGGAGCCAAUCCCAACAAAGCCGGCCCCAGUUGGAAUUGCAGGCUGAAACCCGCCUGCAUGAACGCGGAAUCGCUAGUAACCGCAGGUCAGCAUACUGCGGUGAAUACGUUCCCGGGCCUUGUACACACCGCCCGUCACGUCAUGGAAGCCGAGAACGAUUGAAGUCGCUGAGCUAACCCGCAAGGGAGGCAGGUGCCGAGGUCGGGUUCGGUAACUGGGAGGAAGUCGCGGGAAUGUGAUUAGAGUUUGAUUCUGGCUCAGAUUGAACGCUGGCGGCAUGCCUACACAGCAAGUCAGA
Molecule: ribosomal RNA, 1514 nt
Filed under: uncultured bacterium
Lineage: Bacteria
Description: bacterial SSU rRNA
Rfam family: Bacterial small subunit ribosomal RNA
Source: RNAcentral